CAUUCUAAAAAAUAGUUGAAAAGUUCGUGUGAAAAAAGAUGCUUAAUCUCCGCAGAAUGCCAGUAGCCAUUGUCAAACAUUUGCUAGGGAACGAGUCAGAUUUAGGUACUACAAACCCUAUUUCCUGAGCUUCCUCAAGCAGCUCUACCGUCAGACCCAUUUUUUGUAGAGAGUGAAAGGGUGAGAAAAUGAGCAAUGCAGGUAGCUUGGUUGCAGAGGCAGUGUGGAAGGCGAUUGAGUCAACUCGUUCAGUCACCGACGAUCAGCUCUCCGUGUUAGACUCCUGCAAUUCUUGUUUGGUAAGAACUUGGAGAGAGCAACGAGGAUAGUGGAUCAGAGUGGUGUCAAGAGGGUUUUGGGUGAGCCCAGUGGACGUUCCAUCUUUCAGGUCGUCGGAGAAUCGCGGAGGAAGGAGGAGUACUUCUGCUUUGCCGAGCAGUAUUGUGCUUGUUAUUCAUUCUUCUAUGACACCAAAAACAAGGGAGAGCAGCUUUGUGUGAGGGAGCUUCCUCUCUUGCUCAUCCAAUUUUUCUACUGAUUCGAGCGUUAUUCUAAUCAAUCUAAUCUAAACUACGUGGAGGGUUAUUCGAACUUCCUCAUCCAUUUUUAAGUUCCUUGAAAUCAAAAACGAAAAAAGUAGGGAAGUGUUGUAAUUUUUGCCAUGUUUCUUGUU
This is a long non-coding RNA of Malus domestica (apple), 673 nucleotides long. RefSeq lists it as uncharacterized. Lineage: Eukaryota; Viridiplantae; Streptophyta; Magnoliopsida; Rosales; Rosaceae. The record is from RefSeq and is a predicted model, not a curated record.